ACGGUGCAUUGGGUGAACUUGUUACUACAGAGAUUUCCGUAUUCAGUCUAUCCCAUUACUCAUUUGCUUCAUAAGUUCCUACCAUAUAGUUUAUGUCGAUUUAUUCUACUCAUAUUCAUAAUUCACGCGCCGCUGUCGCCGCCACUUUGAGGCCUUAGCCACCAAGCGGCAUCCUUUCCCGUGAGGCUUAAUUCAGUACAUGCUUCUCUGAAUUUCUAUGAGAUUAAUUCAGUAUAUGUUUCUCUGAAUGUUAUCCUGCCAUGUUGGAAUGUAUCAUUGGAAUGCAAGUUAGGAUGCUCUCUCUCCGUAUGAUAUACUUUAUGUUCUAUCACAAAUUUGAUCUGUUUUAGGUGAUGUACAUGAAUGGCGGCAGAUGGUUGAGGAUUGAGGGAAUGUAGAUGCGACUAGCGAGCACUUACUCUGAGGUGCUUUCAGAUGAUGGAUUAAUAAGACUGUUUGGACAAAAUUCUGAUUUUUUUAACACUUGUUCCAUGUGCGAAUGUUCUGGGAGCACCAACUCCAACUGCUGACAAG
Molecule: long non-coding RNA, 534 nt
Organism: Triticum aestivum (bread wheat)
Lineage: Eukaryota; Viridiplantae; Streptophyta; Magnoliopsida; Poales; Poaceae
Exons: 2
Source: RefSeq, a predicted model, not a curated record